RNAcentral lists this ribosomal RNA (748 nucleotides) under uncultured Aquabacterium sp. Its description in RNAcentral is "bacterial SSU rRNA". It matches the Rfam family "Bacterial small subunit ribosomal RNA", at positions 28 to 773 of the family's 1533-position model. Lineage: Bacteria; Pseudomonadati; Pseudomonadota; Betaproteobacteria; Burkholderiales; Sphaerotilaceae. The record is from RNAcentral.
AUUGAACGCUGGCGGCAUGCCUUAAACAUGCAAGUCGAACGGUAACGCGGGGCAACCUGGCGACGAGUGGCGAACGGGUGAGUAAUAUAUCGGAACGUGCCCAGUAGUGGGGGAUAGCCCGGCGAAAGCCGGAUUAAUACCGCAUGAGACCUGAGGGUGAAAGCGGGGGAUCGCAAGACCUCGCGCUAUUGGAGCGGCCGAUAUCAGAUUAGCUAGUUGGUGGGGUAAAGGCCUACCAAGGCAACGAUCUGUAGUUGGUCUGAGAGGACGACCAGCCACACUGGGACUGAGACACGGCCCAGACUCCUACGGGAGGCAGCAGUGGGGAAUUUUGGACAAUGGGCGCAAGCCUGAUCCAGCAAUGCCGCGUGCAGGAAGAAGGCCUUCGGGUUGUAAACUGCUUUUGUCAGGGAAGAAAUCUUCUGGGUUAAUACCUCGGGAGGAUGACGGUACCUGAAGAAUAAGCACCGGCUAACUACGUGCCAGCAGCCGCGGUAAUACGUAGGGUGCGAGCGUUAAUCGGAAUUACUGGGCGUAAAGCGUGCGCAGGCGGCUUUGCAAGACAGAUGUGAAAUCCCCGGGCUCAACCUGGGAACUGCAUUUGUGACUGCAAGGCUAGAGUACGGCAGAGGGGGAUGGAAUUCCGCGUGUAGCAGUGAAAUGCGUAGAUAUGCGGAGGAACACCAAUGGCGAAGGCAAUCCCCUGGGCCUGUACUGACGCUCAUGCACGAAAGCGUGGGGAGCAAAC